This is a long non-coding RNA of Anthonomus grandis grandis, 340 nucleotides long. RefSeq lists it as uncharacterized. Lineage: Eukaryota; Metazoa; Arthropoda; Insecta; Coleoptera; Curculionidae. The transcript has 3 exons. The record is from RefSeq and is a predicted model, not a curated record.
AGGACGAGACUGCUAUUAACGCUGUGAAAGUAUUGGCAACGCAAUUUCGUGAAGAUUUAUCCCAAUUUUUUUAUCGGUUUAAGAGAAUGGAACCACUCAAUCCUAUAAUUUGGAGUGAUGUUAAGGUAUUAGAGCCUACCAUAAUAGAAUUUGAUCUAAAUGAAGAAAAAGUUUAUUAUGUCGUUAUGGAAAAAGAGUUUUAUAAUAAUGUAGGAUAUUCAACCUUCACUGAAGCUUUCGAGUUGUGUUUUUCUCUCUACUAUAUUUUUGGUAUAAAAUUUUCCACACCAAUUACCAUUAGCUUUGAACUAAUUCAACGAUACAUCCUCAAUGAUCAUCC